GCAUUAAUGGGGUAGUGGCAACCUGGGUCGUUGCCAUGGACAGCAGAUAUGUGAUGGUUCGACCCGCCGGGGGUUCGAUUCCCUCUUAAUGCA
Non-coding RNA from Stygiomarasmius scandens, 93 nucleotides. Lineage: Eukaryota; Fungi; Basidiomycota; Agaricomycetes; Agaricales; Campanellaceae. The record is from the annotation of a GenBank genome assembly.